Molecule: ribosomal RNA, 420 nt
Filed under: Fusobacteriota bacterium
Lineage: Bacteria; Fusobacteriati; Fusobacteriota
Description: Fusobacteria bacterium partial 16S ribosomal RNA
Rfam family: Bacterial small subunit ribosomal RNA
Source: RNAcentral
UGGGGAAUAUUGCACAAUGGACGGAAGUUUGAUGCAGCGACGCCGCGUGGAGGGUGUAGGCCUUCGGGUUGUGAACUCCUUUUUCUCGCGAAAAAGGCACAGUUUUGGCUGUGUUGAUGGUAGUGGGGGAAGAAGCGCCGGCUAACUACGUGCCAGCAGCCGCGGUAAUACGUAGGGCGCGAGCGUUGUCCGGAUUUAUUGGGCGUAAAGAGCUCGUAGGUGGUUCGUCGCGUCUGUCGUGAAAGCCAGCAGCUUAACUGUUGGUCUGCGGUGGGUACGGGCGGGCUUGAGUGCGGUAGGGGUGGCUGGAAUUCCUGUGUAGCGGUGGAAUGCGCAGAUAUCAGGAGGAACACCGAUGGCGAAGGCAGGUCACUGGGCCGUUACUGACACUGAGGAGCGAAAGCGUGGGGAGCGAACAGG